UAAGACAGACAUAUCACCCUGUAGCUCAAGACUGGUUACCCACUGAAGCUAAGCAGGGCUGAGCCUGGUCAGUACCUGGAUGGGAGACCUCCUGGGAAAACUAGGUUGCUGCUGGAA
Molecule: ribosomal RNA, 117 nt
Filed under: Sinocyclocheilus grahami
Lineage: Eukaryota; Metazoa; Chordata; Actinopteri; Cypriniformes; Cyprinidae
Source: RNAcentral